Molecule: ribosomal RNA, 473 nt
Filed under: uncultured bacterium
Lineage: Bacteria
Description: bacterial SSU rRNA
Rfam family: Bacterial small subunit ribosomal RNA
Source: RNAcentral
UAGGGAAUUUUGGGCAAUGGGCGAAAGCCUGACCCAGCAACGCCGCGUGUGGGAUGAAGGCCCUCGGGUCGUAAACCACUGUCAGGAGGAAAGAAAAGUCGGCCGGAUAAUACUCGGUCGACCUGACGGUACCUCCAAAGGAAGCACCGGCUAACUCCGUGCCAGCAGCCGCGGUAAUACGUAGGGUGCAGGCGUUAAUCGGAAUUACUGGGCGUAAAGGGUGCGCAGGCGGUUUGUUAAGACAGGUGUGAAAUCCCCGGGCUUAACCUGGGAAUUGCGCCUGUAACUGGCAGGCUAGAGUGUGGCAGAGGGGGGUGGAAUUCCACGUGUAGCAGUGAAAUGCGUAGAUAUGUGGAGGAACACCGAUGGCGAAGGCAGCCCCCUGGGUUAACACUGACGCUCAUGCACGAAAGCGUGGGGAGCAAACAGGAUUAGAUACCCAAGUAGUCCCUGAGCGGGCUGGCAAGGCGCAU